Molecule: long non-coding RNA, 10175 nt
Filed under: Triticum aestivum (bread wheat)
Lineage: Eukaryota; Viridiplantae; Streptophyta; Magnoliopsida; Poales; Poaceae
Description: long non-coding RNA (TAES_LNC021979)
Source: RNAcentral
UUUUUUAUUUGGUCUCUCUUUUUUUGGCCUUUCUGUUCUUCUUUUUUCGUAAAGUUCGAAGUCUCAUCCCAACUUGUGGGGGAAUCAUAGUCUCCAUCAUUCUUUCCUCACUUGGGACAAUGCUCUAAUAAUGAAGAUCAUCACACUUUUAUUUACUUACAACUCAAGAUUACAACUUGAUACUUAGAACAAGAUAUGACUCUAUAUGAAUGCCUUUGGCGGUGUACCGGGAUAUGCAAUGAAUCAAGAGUGGCAUGUAUGGAAAUUAUGAAGGUGGCCUUGCCACAAUACGAUGUCAACUACAUGAUCAUGCAAGAGCAAUAUGACAAUGAUGAUCCGUGUCAUAAUAAACGGAACGGUGGAAAGUUGCAUGGCAAUAUAUCUCUGAAUGGCUAUGGAAAUGCCAUAAUAGGUAGGUAUGGUGGCUGUUUUGAGGAAGUUAUAUGGUGGGUGUAUUGUACCGGCGAAAGUUGCGCAGCACGAGAGAGGCUAGCAAUGGUGGAAGGAUGAGAGUGCGUAUAAUCCAUGGACUCAACAUUAGUCAUAAAGAACUCAUAUACUUAUUGCAAAAAUCUACAAGCCAUUGAAAACAAAGUAUUACGCGCAUGCUACUAGGGGGAUAGAUUGGUAGGAAAAGACCAUCGCUCGUCCCCGACCGCCACUCAUAAGGAAGACAAUCAAUAAAUAAAAUUAUGCUCCAACUUCAUCACAAAGCGGUUCACCAUACGUGCAUGCUACGGGAAUCACAAACUUCACAACAAGUAUUCUUUAAAUUCACAAUUACCCAACUAGCAGGACUCUAAUAUCACCAUCCUCAUAUCUCAAAACAAUUAUCAAGCAUCAAAUUGAUCAUAGCAUCCAAUUCACUUCCUAUGAUAGUUUUUAUUAUACCCAACUUGGAUGCCCAUCAUUCUAGGACCAAUUUUAUAACCAUAGCAAAUACCAUGAUGUUCUAAAAGACUCUCAAAAUAAUAUAAGUGAAUCAUGAGAGAUCAAAGAUUUCUUCAAAAUUAAGCCACCGCCGUGCUCUAAAAGAUACAAGUGAAGCACUAGAGCAAAACUAUCUAGCUCAAAAGAUAUAAGUGAAGCACAUAGAGUAUUCUAAUAAAUUCCAAAUCAAGUGGGUUUCUCCCAAAAGGUGUGUACAGCAAGGAUGAUUGUGGUAAUCUAAAAAGCAAAUACUAAUAUCAUACAAGACACUCUAAGCAAAACACAUAUCAUGUGGAGAAUAAAAAUAUAGCUCCAAGUAAAGUUACCGAUAAACGAAGACAAAAGAGGGGAUGCCUUCCGGGGCAUCCCCAAUCUUAGGCUUUUGGUUAUCCUUGAAUAUCUUGGAGUGCCAUGGGCAUCCCCAAUCUUAGGCUCUUUCCACUCCUUAUUCCAUAGUCCAUCAAAUCUUUACCCAAAACUUGAAAACUUCACAACACAAAACUCAACAGGAAAUCUCAUAAGCUCCGUUAGUGCAAGAAAGAAAAAACACCACAUAAGAUACUGUAAUGAACCCAGUCUUUAUUUAUAUUGGUGUUAAACCUACUGUAUUCCAACUUUUCUAUGGUUUAUACCCCCCGAUACUAGCCAUAGAUGCAUCAAAAUAAGCAAACAACACACGAAAAAUAGAAUCUGUCAAAAACAGAACAGUCUGUAGCAAUCUGUAACUCUAGAAUACUUCUGGAACUCUAAAAAUCCUACCAGAAUAGUAAGUCCUGGGAAAUUUGUCUAUUGAUUUGCAGCAAAAACAAUCAACGAAAAAGCAUGUUUCUGUGAAUUACUAAAAUUAUUUUUGUGCGUGCAAAAGUUUCUGUUUUUCAGCAGAAUCAAAUUAACUAUCACCGUAGGUUAUCCUAUAGGUUCUACUUGGCACAAACACUAAUUAAAACAUGAAAACACAUCUAAACAGAAGCUAGAUGAAAUAUUUAUUACUAAACAGAAGCAAUAAGCAAGAAACAAAAAAAAUUGGGUUGCCUCCCAACAAGCAGUAUCGUUUAACGCCCUUAGCUAGGCAUUGAUAAUUUCGAUGAUGCUCAUAUGAAAGAUAGCAAUCGAAACACGAAGAGAGCAUCAUGUAGCAUGUGAAAAACACAUCUAAGUCUAACAUACUUCCUAUGCAUAGGCAUCUUGUAAGCAAACAAAUUAUCAAGGCAAGCAAAAACUAGCAUUUGCAAGGAAGAACAAAGAGAUGGUAGCAAUCUCAACAUGAAGAGAGGUAAUUUGGUAACAUGAAAAUUUCUACAACCAUAUUUUCCUCUCUCAUAAUAAUUACAUGUAGGAUAAUAAGCAAAUUCAACAAAAUAGCUAUCACAUAAAAUAUUUUCAACACAAUCCACAUGCAUGCAAAGUUGACACUCUUCCAAAAUAGUAGGAUUAACAUUAACUAAAGUCAUGACCUCUCCAAGCCCACUUUUAUCAAAAACUUCAUAAGAUUGAUCAAAAUCCAAAUAUGUGGGAUCUAAAAUCGACACUCUUCCAAACUCACUUUCAAUAAUAUUGCAAACACUAUUAUCAAUCUCAUAUUCAUCAUGGGGGUUAAAUAAAUUUUCAAGAUCAAAAGAAGAAUCACACCAAUCAUGAUCAUUGCAACAGGUAGUAGACAUAGAAAAACUAGCAUCCCCAAGCUUAGGGUUUUGCAUAUUAUUAGCACAAUUGACAUCAAUAGAAUUUGUAGUAAAAUCAUUUCAAUCAUGCUUUUUAUUCAAGGAGCUAUCGUGAAUCUCUUCAUAAAUUUCUUCAUCACAAUUUUUAGAUUCACAAAUUUCAAGCAAAACAUCAUAAAGAUAAUCUAGUGCACUCAACUCACAAGCAAUUGGUUCUUCAUAAUUGGAUCUCUUGAAAAGAUUAGCAAGUGGAUGAGGAUCCAUGAACUUUUAGCAAGCGAAGAUGCAAGCAAAAAGAAGUCACAUGGAGACACAAGAUCGAACGGAAGAGGGCGAAGAAAACGGCCAGGGUGAAGUGGGGGAGAGGAAAACAAGAGGCAAAUGGCAAAUAACGUAAUGUGAGGGAGAUGAGUUUGUGAUGGGUACUUGGUAUGUCUUGACUUGAGCGAAGACCUCCCCGGCAACGGUGCCAGAAAUCCUUCUUGCUACGUCUUGAGCUUGCGUUGGUUUUCCUUGAAGAGGAAAGGGUGAUGCAGCAAUAGUAGCAUAAGUAUUUCCCUCUUUUUUUGAGAACCAAGGUAUCAAUCCAGUAGGAGGCUCCUCAAAAGUCCCACGCACCUACACAAACAAACAAGAACCUCGUAACCAACGCAAUAAAGGGGUUGUCAAUCCCUUCACGGCCACUUGCGAAAGUGAGAUCUAAUAGAGAUAAUAUGAUAAGAUAAAUAUUUUUGGUAUUUUUAUGAUAUAGAUUGGAAAGUAAAAGAUGCAAAUAAAAGAUAGAUGAAAACUUAUAUGAUUAAGGAUAGACCCGGGGGCCAUAGGUUUCACUAGUGGCUUCUCUCAAGAUAGCAUAAGUAUUACGGUGGGUGAACGAAUUACUAUCGAGCAAUUGAUACAAAAGCGCAUAGUUAUGAGAUUAUCUAGGCAUGAUCAUGUAUAUAGGCAUCACGUCCGUGACAAGUAGAUCGACUCCUCCUGCAUCUACUAUUAUUACUCCACACAUCGACCGACUCCUGCAUGCAUCUAGAGUAUUAAGUUCAUAAGAACAGAGUAACGCAUUAAGAAAGAUGACAUGAUGUAGAGGGAUAAACUCAUGCAAUAUGAUAUAAACCCCAUCUUUUUAUCCUCAAUGGCAACAAUACAAUGCGUGCCUUGCUGCCCCUGCUGUCACUAGGAAAGGACACCGCAAGAUUGAACCCAAAGCUAAGCACUUCUCCCAUUGCAAGAAAGAUCAAUCUAGUGGGCCAAACCAAACUGAUAAUUCUAAGAGACUUGCAAAGAUAACUUAAUAACACAUAAAAGAAUUCAGAGGAGAUUCAAAUAUUUAUCAUAGAUAAACUUGAUAAUAAACCCACAAUUCAUCAGAUCUCAACAAACACACCACAAAAAAGAGUUACAUCAAAUAGAUCUCCAAGAAGAUCGAGGAGAACUUUGUAUUGAGAUUCAAAGAGAGAGAAGAAGCCAUCUAGCUAAUAACUAUGGACCCGAAGGUCUGUGGUAAACUACUCACAACUCAUAGGAGAGGCCUUGGAGAUGAUGUAGAGGCCCUCCGUGGUCGAUUCCCCCUCCGACGGAGCGCCGGCGAAGGCUCCAAGAUGGGAUCUCACGGAUACAGAAGGUUGCAGCGGUGGAAUUAGGUUUUUGUGGUCACUUCUGAUGGUUUCAGGGUACGGGAGUAUAUAUAGGAGGAAUAAGUAGGUCAGUGGACGCUCGAGGGGCCCACGAGGGUGGGGCGCGCGCUCACCCCCAGGGGGGCGCCGGGCACCCUCGUGGCCGCAUCAGUUGUUGCUUGACGUCCACUCCAAGUCUCCAGGUUUGCAUUUGUUCCAAAAAGAUCGCUCCCGAAGGUUUCAUCCCGUUUGGACUCCGUUUGAUAUUCCUUUUCUUCGAAACACUGAAAUAGGCAAAAAAAACAGCAAUUUAGGCUGGGCCUCCGGUUAGUAGGUUAGUCCCAAAAAUGAUAUAAAAGUGUAAAGUAAAGCCCAUAAACAUCCAAAACGGGUAAUAUAAUAGCAUGGAACAAUCAAAAAUUAUAGAUACGUUGGAGACGUAUCAGCAGCGACGACAAACCAGGGGAGAAGCAUGGGAUAAGCGAGACACUGAGUGGCUCGGACGGACCAGGGGAUGUGCUCGGUCCGACCAGGUGGGGGAUCUUUUAAUAACUAGCAAAUUUGCAAAAAAACUGCGUGCAUGCGUAUUUGAUUGAGCUAGCACACGUGGCAGUCAAUGCACACUUGGCGGUGGUUGACUCGGGCCAGAUCAGCCAAUACGUAUAGCAAAGCGUACAAUGGACCGUAGAUGACCCCUAAGUGCAAGUUUGGUGACUGUAUUUCGGGUAUUUGUAACCGUAGGGACUAAAGUGGGCACCAGCGCAAGUAAUAGGGCUUGUAAUGAAUUUUUCUCUUCCAAAAAACACUAGUACAAAUGUAAUCACGAUCAUACACAAUGGAGCUUAUAAACAGAAUCCAAGAAAGCCUCUGCCACCUUUCUGAGCCGUGAAAGGGUGAUGUGAGGGAACAAAAUGGUCGUAUUUGGACAAUUUGUCGAUGACCACAAACAAACAUUUGUACCUGCCAGAUGUGGGCAACCCUUUUACAAAAUCUAUCAUGACCAUUUCCCAAGGAGUUUUAGGUAUUGGUAACGGCUGCAGCAAGCCGGGGUAAGGAAUCCUCUCUGGUUUGGCCUGCUGGCAGACAAGAAAGUGUUGGACAAACUGUUUGAUAAAACCUUUCAUACCAUCCCAACAAAAAAGUUGAUAAACAUGGCGAUAGGUGACAUGGAAAUCAGAGUGCCCUCCCAAGGGGCUGUCAUGGAAGGCACUCACUAUUUUCUUGUGCAAAGAUGGAUCAGCUCCAACCCAGAUGCAACUGUCAACUCGGAGUAAACUGGCCACAAUGCAGCCCAGGUAAUGUUGGCCACAAUGCAGCCCAAGGAAUCAUUGUAUAGCUGGCCACAAUGUUACCGAACCACACUGAUUGGGUAGAAGAAAUAGCAUGCAGCCCAGGUAAUGUUUCACUCACUGAAUGAGGCAUGUGAGACAAAGCCUCGGCGCCUCGAUUCUCGGAUCCUUUCUUAUAGCUGAUGGUAUACUAUAAACCCAAAAGCUUGGUUAGAGCCUUCUGCUGCCAACUAAUAUGCAAACGCUGAUCAGUCAAACUAGCCAAAGUAUGUUGAAUGAUGAAGUCUGAUAAAUGAAGAGAUUAACGACAAUGCUCCACUGCCAACAAGAUUGCCAAGUACUCAUUUUCAUAACAGAUAGUAUUUGAUUUCUUGGACCUAAAGCUUAACUCGGAUAUGCCAAAGGGUGACCUUGCAUCAGAACAUCACCAAUGCCCACAUCACAAGCGUCAGUCUCCGCUACAAAUUUCUUAGAGAAAUCUGGAAGAGCCAAACCAGGGAUGUAACCAUAGCAUGUUUGAGAGCAACAAAAGCUUAAUUUCCCACUUUUGUACAAUGAAACGGCACGCCCUUUUUAAGAAGGUUUGUAAUAGGCCUACAAAUGAUCCCGUAAUGUUGGAUGAACUUUCUAUAUAGAUAGCUAGGCAGGGAAGCAGUUUUAGGCGGGAAAGAGAGAUGAUGUUGGCGCCAAUCCACACGCGCCUCCUCCUUCUCUGGCUCCUUUCCUCCAGUAGAUCUGCUCCCUCCUCUACAGCAGAUCCUCUCAAGUAGCUCCUCAUCCUCCUCCUCUUCAGUACAGCAGGAACCAUCAACAGGCAACAGCAAGGAGCCAACUGCCAAGAUAUACCUCCCCCAUCCUCUACUCCUCUCCCUCCCCCUUCUCCCUCCUCUGCUCUGUUUCUUCCAUGUUCAGCUGUUCAUUGCUUGCUGCUUUUCAGUUGUUCAUUGCUUCCUGCUUUGCUGGUUGCUCACUACUUUGUGCUAGUUGCUUUGCUGGUUGCUCACUGCCUCUCUUAUAGGAGGUGUUUGUUUCACAGUUUUUGCGUCGGUACCUGAUUACAGCGCUAUCCAAAUCCGCUCCCCGUGUUUGGUUGAGUUAGGCUGUUAUUGAAUACUACGUAAUCGAAUUACAUUGCUAUUUCAAAUCCCAUUACGCCCACCUCUGGUCGUAAAGCGAUCCCAUCUCGAUCUGCUAUUCUCGCUCAAGUCCUCUUCUCGUUCCGCCAAAGAAGCCAGAAUCCAUCAGUCAAACCAUUGCCAGAUCUCUCUCUUCGUCCGCCACCGCCUUCCCGGAGCACCACCGCCCCGCCGGAGUGCCGCCAGUCGCUGCCACCGGCGUUGGAGCAGUGGCGCCGCCACCGCCCUGCCGGAUCGCUGCCGCCACCACCAGCAGCGCCACCUGAGCUUGGUGUCCAUGACCGGUGAUCUAUCCAUGGAGAAGGAGAAUCACGCGGCCAUAGCCCUCAUUUUCUUGUAUCUUCGAUCGUUGAGUUCUCUGUUACCGUUACCUGAACGAACCAAGCAAAACCAGAAAUACACCGAUUACAGCGACAACAUGGUGUAACCUAAUUACGUUACUGGUUACGUUAACGAUGACGCAACCAAACACCUCCAUAGUGGUUAGUGGAUGCCUGGAUGGUUAGAAUAAUGCAUGAUUACUGUUGGGGAAAAGAGAAAGUGCAAAGAGGAUGGAUUCUAUAUGGGCUCUACAACCAGCAGCAAGCGCAAGAUGUGUACUGUGUAUGCCUAGUUGCCUACCAAAUGUUGCUUCAUGCUGCUGCUUAGAACUCUCUAAGGUGUCUGCCUUGCCUUAUGACUUAUCACUUAGGCAGUGAGCCCUGGAACCUUCUAGAACCCAAGAAUUGCAUGAAAAUCAUUAUAUCAUAUGAUGACAAAGGCAUGUAGAAGGGGGUUGUGGGAAACGCAGGGGGCUCANNNNNNNNNNNNNNNNNNNNNNNNNNNNNNNNNNNNNNNNNNNNNNNNNNNNNNNNNNNNNNNNNNNNNNNNNNNNNNNNNNNNNNNNNNNNNNNNNNNNNNNNNNNNNNNNNNNNNNNNNNNNNNNNNNNNNNNNNNNNNNNNNNNNNNNNNNNNNNNNNNNNNNNNNNNNNNNNNNNNNNNNNNNNNNNNNNNNNNNNNNNNNNNNNNNNNNNNNNNNNNNNNNNNNNNNNNNNNNNNNNNNNNNNNNNNNNNNNNNNNNNNNNNNNNNNNACACACACACACAUGCGCGCGCAUGCGUGUGCAUGCAUCUAGGGCCUGAUGUGCUCUAACCUCUAAGGGAUACAACGAAGAGAAAAUGGGGUUUUUGAUGUGUGAUCUACAAGCAAGUUGGCUAACUUGAUGUUCCUCGUCACAAGCACAAAACUAUCAAAUGAAGUAGCAUAUGUUGUGGACAAGAGGACGAGUGUAUGGUUGAACCCAUGCGAAGGAGUAAAGACAGGGUUUGUUUUGGAGAUCGUUCGUCUUUGUGAAGCAUUGAAGAAUGCGUGUGCUUAGUCAGUACCUUGAACCAUUGGCCAUGAUCCUGGAUCAGCUGGUCGUGCCGAUGAAUGGAAACGUGUGUGUUAAACAGCAAAAUAGUCUUGAUGGAAGCCAUCAACGACAUGAACACCGACGCCAAGGUGAUGCUUGCAUCAACCAAGGCCUGCUGUGAAUGCAUAACACUUGUUGGUCACUGCGCGACACUCAUGGAGAGCAAUCUUUAAAUUAUUCAGAAACACAGUUGGUGCAUAGCGAGUAGUUCUCCUCAUUAUCCUAUGGAAUUCUUUUGUCGGAAGGCAACGAUUGGCCGAGCCUGUAGAAGGAUGUGUUUAUCCACUGGGGGGCCAUGGCCCCCCACAAAAAGAUUGCAAAAUGUUUUUUAAUAGUGCAUGCAUAUGCAUAUAUCCAUUAUAUUAAUUUUGGUGCAGCCUAAAUACUCCAAAACUUCAACCCUUCAUAAUGUUGCCUUCACAUAGGUCGAAAUCUAGGUCCACCACUGCGGUGAGGAGAGGUGAUUUUUCUAAGCGAGAAAACAUAUAGCAAUAUUGUACUUCCUCCAAUCCAAAAUAAGUGUCGCGGUUUUAGUUUAUAUUUGAACUACUACGACACUUAUUUUGGGUCAGAGGGAGUAUUAAGAACUUGCUCCAUUCCUAAAUUUCAUGUUGUAAAAUAAAAUUAUCGGGUAGGUAAUUUUGGACUCUAUUCCUUUUGGUUACCAUAGAUCAUGUUCUCUUUUGCCACUGCAUAUUUAAAAUAGACUUCUACAUGUUCACAAACAUGAAAAAAUUACCCUAGUUUUCAUACAUAUCACCCUAAAUAUAUUCCUCUUUUGGAUUAGGUGGGAGGGAGGAUUGGCUGGUCUAAAGAGCAAAAUGGAGUCUUCUGCAAAAUUGUCAUAGCUGAUCAGACGCACUGUAGAAGUGGGAUUUGUUAGUAUCAUGCUAUUUCUCAUGGUUUGGUUAUAAAUCAUCGUCCUGCGCAUUUACGAAAUAGAUGCAGAGUGCCUGGCCAUUGAAGGAACCAAAAAGAAAUCGUGAUUUUUUGUCUCUGGCACUAACUAAAAGUAGAUGCAGAGUACCCCGACCAUUGUGUCUGGCACUAACUAAAAGUAGAUGCAGAGUGCCCGACCAUUGAAGGAACCGGAAACAAAUCGUGGUUUUUUUGUCAGAUUUUAAACAUGGCAACUCAAACGUUUUUUAUGGCAACUUCAGUUGACACGAGGUGGCAAGUGGUUUUUUUGUCGGAUUUUGAGCAUGGCAACUUCAGUUGACACGAGGUGGCAAGUUUAAUUGGUAGACAUGUGUCAAAAUGACAUGCUUACCCAUGAUUGUGAAGGACGUGCACUGAUUUCCAGCGCCUGCCUUCUUGCUUCUCAAAGCAACACUUCAGUUAUCUUAUCCACCUGAACACCCAGUUCCUUUAGGGAUUCUAAAGUGUGUAAGGGCUUAAGGCUGCGCAAUCCUCCUAAGUCCAUAAAUUGAAACGAUUAAGCAAACGUACAGCUCUAGGCACGAGAGCUUCUUAUUGCUUGGUGGUAAGAUCGAGUUCCGAGUCACAGCUCAGAUAUGGAAACAACUGUAAACAAGAACAUCUGGAUCAUCCUAUCACAGUUAUCAAAGACUGAUUUUACUCCACAUGAUAGAUGUUUCGCCAUUACAAACCGCUCAGCAAUUCAACUAUUUAAAGGUAGCAGGCAUUCAAGACCAGGGCAUCACUCAAAAACAAAACCAGUAGCAUUUCUGUAAGAGGGGUAACUAAAUGGGACGACAUAAUGUUUUCCAGAUCAACCAAUCCCAGUACCAAGAAUCCAGCAGCAACAGGUGGGCGAACAAAGAUUCUAGAUCUUGUUGAAGGCAACGAUGUCACACGACUGGACAUACUCGUUGAUGGGCGCCUCACAGAGCACUUCCUCAAUAAGGGUGUCGACAGACACAAGGUCGUCGAUGAUCGUCAGCAUGAUCUGGAGCUUCUUGAUGCCAUAACCCACAGGCAUAAGCUUAGCUGCAAGAGUGAAAGCAGGGUGUCAACUUCGCCAAACUGUUGCAUCAGUGAGCUAUAAUAGAGAUAAAUACUAUGAAAAGUAAUGAGUUCCUUACAUGCACCCCAGGUGAGACCCUCCAUUUGAACACUGCGGACAGCCUCCUCCAACUUCUUCAUGUCAGUCUCAUCGUCCCAUGGCUUGAUGUCCAUGAGGACGGAGGAUUU